UGUAACAGACUGACCCUAGCCCCCCGACACAUGCCCAGUCAUGUGAAAUCCAUAGAUUAGGGCCUAAUCAAUUUAUUUAAAUUGACUGAUUUCCUUAUAUGAGCUGUAACUCAGUAAAAUCGUUAAUUGUUGCAUGUUGUGUUAUUAUUUUUGUUCAGUAUAUUUUUAAGCACAUUUAGGACAUUGCCACUGUGUAUUUACCUCAUAUAAGUGACUUUAAUUCCUCCCAACAGGAUGACACUGGGAGUAGACAAGGCAGUAGGGGUGACUCUGCAGUGUCAGAGUUCACCACAGACAGUGGAGUGGUCCUGUACACUGGAGAGGUCCCCACCUUACCACGGGCUGUACCCUGGAAACUACCACCACUUGUGUGUGUGUGUGUGUGUGUGUAAAAGAGUGUAUGCUUGUCAGAGACCUUGUGUGUGUCCCACUCCCAGCCCACAUCCCUAGCCUGGUUCAUGAGAGUGGUGAGAGACCCAGGUCCAGUGAAAUCCUGGAGCAGCUGCUUAUCCCAGGGAGAGGGCCAGCGGGGCGGCAUACAACAUGAGGCACCCUCACCAGGCGUCUCUGAAGAUCAGGAGGGACCAGUCUGUCACCAGCUAAGAGGACAUGGAGGAGUUGAUGAGGCAGGCCAAGGAGAGACGUAACAAGCUGAGAAAUAUAUAAGUGGCCUAUGAAGAGCUAGUGAUUAUGACAUCAUGAAAAAUAUGAAUGUUAGGUCAAAGAGGAGGAGCUGAAGGUGAGCCCAAGGACUAAGUCAGCUGGUGUCUGUGGCCCAGACACUGCAGGGAUAACCGGAGAGGGGGACGUAGUCACCCCUGUGGAGGUCCUCCAGACCUCUGAGACCCCACCCAGCCUGACAGGGAUCCAGCAGGACCCCCCGGAUACCGACCCACCCCAAACCCAGAGAGGAGGGAGUGGAGGGGUCAGGGAGAGUGGAAUUCAGAAGUGGGGUCAGUGGGCAGCUUCUCUUAACCUCUCUGGAGAUGGAGAAAUGACUCCACGUUUCAUCAGACUGAGCAAACUGUGGAGACGUUCUAGCACCUGCCUGGGAGCACCUUAUUCAUGUAUUCGUGUGUCUGAGAACAGAAGGAUGGAUAAAAUGAGGGAAGUAGAAAAUGGAAAAUAGGGGUGAAAUACUAGAAGAGGAUAGAGAAAAUGAGCGAGGGAGAGGGUCAUUAUUAUUAUAAAAACAUUGUAAAUUAACCAAAAAAUAAAUCCUGAGAUUUAUUUUCCAUUCAUUUAUAAAGAUUAAGGGAUUUCCCCCCCACUUUAUGUCGCCAUGAUGAACGUUUCGUUGAAAGCUGUUUUGAACACAAGAUGGCACUGUUUCCAUGGAAUUCAAUUACUCUCCAGCACUGUUCAGUAUCGCAAAUUUACAGGUUUUUGGUGUCAUCAUACACUACCAGUCAAAAGUUUUAGAACACCUACUCAUUCAAGGAUUUUUAUUUAUGUUUUCUAUUUUCUACAUUGUAGAAUAAUAGUGAAGACAUCAACACUAUGAGAAC
Salmo salar (Atlantic salmon) is the source of this 1508-nucleotide non-coding RNA. Lineage: Eukaryota; Metazoa; Chordata; Actinopteri; Salmoniformes; Salmonidae. The record is from RefSeq and is a predicted model, not a curated record.